This 396-nucleotide RNase P RNA is filed under the name Bacillota bacterium. RNAcentral describes it as "Firmicutes bacterium (anaerobic digester metagenome) RNase P RNA component class A". It matches the Rfam family "Bacterial RNase P class A". Rfam says of the family: Ribonuclease P (RNase P) is a ubiquitous endoribonuclease, found in archaea, bacteria and eukarya as well as chloroplasts and mitochondria. Its best characterised activity is the generation of mature 5'-ends of tRNAs by cleaving the 5'-leader elements of precursor-tRNAs. The record is from RNAcentral. Lineage: Bacteria; Bacillati; Bacillota.
CAAGCAGAUUGGGUAGUCGCGGGCGUAUUCACUGCGUAUUGUCGCAAGGGAUGGCGCUCGAGGAAAGUCCGAACUCCAUAGGGCUGGGUGCUGGAUAACUUCCAGUGGGGGUGACCCUAAGGAAAGUGCCACAGAAAUCAAACCGCCUUCGCAUCUGAUCCAAGCCGUAAAUGGCCGGAUUGGUCUGAGGGUAAGGGUGAAACGGUGCGGUAAGAGCGCACCGGCAACCAGGUGACUGGUUGGCCAGGUAAACCCCACCCGGAGCAAGACCGAAUAGGAGGGACAUGAGGUGGCCCGCCUCCCCCUCGGGUACGGUCGCUUGAGGCCUUUGGGUAACCAAGGUCCCAGAUAGAUGACUAUCCAUGACAGGAUUCGGCUUACAGAUCUGGUUGUUUG